AUGAUAUAUUAUGUAUUAAUAAUCAAAUUUAAAAUUUAAAUGCUAAUUCAAGAAUGACUUUUUAAAGAAAUGAUUAUAUAAAAUUGUUUUAAGAACCGAGAAUCGAACCGGAACCAUACCAAACCAAACCAGAACCGAGAACCGUAGCGAAUCGGAACCGAAACAAUGAAUAACCAAACCGGAACCAUACCGAAAUUUUGGUUUGGUUCUGGUUUCUAGGCAAAUCCCAAGCCGAAUCGGAACCAAACAUCCCCAGUAGUUUCUACCCAUUUUGGCUUAUUUGUCACCUUUGCUCCAAGAAAAAAGGUAGAUUCAAUGUGAAAAAAGGUAGAUUCAAUGUAUUUUUUCUUUAAUAAAAAAUGAAUUUGAAGGAUCUGAGUGUUUUUAGUUUGAUUAGAUGAGAUUUUUUCCUUUUGAAUUUUGUUUGACCCAUGCUUGAUCAUUUUUGUGCAAAGCAUAUCAAUCUUUGCCAAAACUGAUAACCAAGACUGAACCAAUGUCUUCAAAUUACUUCAGUUUUUAAUAGCUUGAAUAUAGCCUCGGUUUUAAAACUGUAUAAACAGAUGACAUUGGAUAGGUUGAAAAAAUUUCACCAAUCACACCCCAGCACCCCACUGACCUGUUCCCUAACCAUUAAAGUCACUCUAAAUAGGUAACAGUGCAUACCAGAAGAAACUAGAUUCACAAGCCUACUUGCAAUUAUUUCCACCAUAUUGAAUAUUCUUAAGUUUUCUCCAAACAGCCACAACAUAUUCAGUAGUAAUCUUCCACAGUAAAUAACCUAUAAAUGGCCAGGUUAGACCCGCUCAAGUCACAGGGUGGCCAAGUUUGGGCAAAUUAUGUCUAGCUUGGCCCUUGUCUCAGCCUGACCAUUCAGGCCUAACAAAUAGACCAGGACCAAGCCAAUCUUUUAUUAUGUUAUUAGUGCCAUUCGCUAUAGCCAAGACCACCACCUGGCUUAGCAAGAAGCAUUUCAAAUUUGAAGUUGUUGAUGGGGUAUUUAGUCCCCCUGUCAACCUUUUCCACAUAUAUGUAUUAAUAAACUAUAGCAUAUAAUAUAUUGUUAUUAAUAUUAUCAACUAAAUAUGACAUAUAUAACAUCUUCUAAUAUAAGAUAAUAUGUAAUUUGGGGCAGACUCAAACAACAAACAUAAUCCAUCCCAACAUAGUUCAAGUUAGAUGAGGUUCAAGAGAACAAAGAAAUCAAUGACCAAGAAUAGAAAUUUUCUGGAACAGGAUAUGCUGGUUCCCAGAAACAUUAAUAGGUGUAUGCCAGGUAAUUGAGUUGCAAUAGAUUGCCAGUGUAGCAGUGUAACCAAGUUUGUCACAUCCUUACUAACAAGAAAGGCUUUAAUAUGCAGGUAGUGGAAUCCUGAUCUUUAUGUACAUCAGUGCCCUGUUCGUUGAGUGCAAAUUCUAAAAGAGAAAAAACCAUUGAUGGGGUCCCCAUAUACUAUUCCAAAUUAUGGAAAUGCAUUCAAACCCAAAGCAAGCAACAAAAUCAACUCAAAAAAUACCUCAUUGUCAACAGCAGAUAC
RNAcentral lists this unclassified non-coding RNA (1538 nucleotides) under Hevea brasiliensis (rubber tree). Lineage: Eukaryota; Viridiplantae; Streptophyta; Magnoliopsida; Malpighiales; Euphorbiaceae. The record is from RNAcentral.